Molecule: long non-coding RNA, 1230 nt
Filed under: Numida meleagris (helmeted guineafowl)
Lineage: Eukaryota; Metazoa; Chordata; Aves; Galliformes; Numididae
Description: lncRNA (ENSNMEG00000000877.1)
Source: RNAcentral
CACGUGUGUGUCUGUAAAAGACGGGACGGGGCAGUUCAAAAAGGAGAAGGCUGCGAGUGCGGUCCUCACUGGAGGCGGCGGUAACUCUUACAGAGUUCGUGGUCCCGGAUGUCCCCCCACCCUCCGUUCUUGACGUGAGGGGACAGGGGGGCCAUGGAGUACCUUUUGCUGACGCUCAUCGUCUCGGGGAACAGGUACUGCCGGUUGCUGCUCAAGAGAGAGUCGAUUUUGGCACUCUGGGAGGACGGCCUGCAGGACUUCUUGUGGUGCAUGCCGCAGUCCCCCGUGUGAAACACGCGGGGGAUUUCGGGGACCAGCACCUUCCAGAACUUUGGAAGACACGAGACAGUCAAGUGCUGCAACGUCCAGUCCCAGUUGUAGUCAUCGUACGUGCAGAAGGCGUCCGUGCACUCGAUGAGCUUCUGGUAGGUGUCUCUGCCGAAGGCCAUGCCCAUGUUGUGCUCCGUGGACUUCCACGUCUUCACCUCGGCCUUGUCGGCGCGGCCGGCGAAGCCCCCGCGGCCCAGCGUGUAGGAGCCCAGCGAGACCACCUGGCACUCGGGGCAGUCGCGCUGCCGCAGCGCCCACAGCUGCUUGAGGACGUGGUAGAAGUCGGGCGCCAGGUAGUGGUCCUCCUCCAGGAAGACGACGGGCCCGGCGUGCUCCCGCAGCGCCCGCACGCGCUCCCAGACGAAGUGCAGCUUCCACCACCAGUGGUGCUUGGUCUGCGAGAAGCGGGCCUCGCGGUAGUGCCCGAAGGAGUCGGGGAACUCGGCGUUGAGGCAGCCCAGGCGCAGCGCGGCCGCCUUGCCCACGUCGCGGGGGCAGUCGCGGGGGUCGUGCCCGGGGAACUCGCGCGGGUACAGCUGGAUGCUGAAGGGGAAGAAGACCUGCAGCACCGGGCAGAAGUCCACGGCGGCCGCCAGCCGGUUCAGCUCCUCGGCCCACAGGUCGUGGCUCAGCACCAGCAGCACGUUCUCCACGCCCGCCGCGCGCCGCAGGGACUCGAGCAGCAGCCGCAGGUGCUCGGCGCGGUCGUGCACCUGCACCACCAGCACCACGUCGGGGCCGCCGGGCCGGGCCGGGAAGCGCCCCGCGUUGCGCAGCGGCUGGUCGAAGUUGAGGCGGUAGACGAGCGAGCGGUAGCUCAGCGUCCCGUUCUCCGCGCCCGCGGUCGGGGCGGCGGAGGAGGCCGAGGCCGAGGCGUUGGCGGCGCCGGCGGGGCGGCGC